GCGCCUGUGGCUCAGUGGAAAGAGCGCUCGGUUCCGAGCCGAGGGGUCGGGAGUUCGAUUCUCUCCAGGCGCGCCA
RNAcentral lists this transfer RNA (76 nucleotides) under Ramlibacter alkalitolerans. Its description in RNAcentral is "tRNA-Arg". It matches the Rfam family "tRNA". Rfam says of the family: Transfer RNA (tRNA) molecules are approximately 80 nucleotides in length. The record is from RNAcentral. Lineage: Bacteria; Pseudomonadati; Pseudomonadota; Betaproteobacteria; Burkholderiales; Comamonadaceae.